Molecule: long non-coding RNA, 1178 nt
Filed under: Triticum aestivum (bread wheat)
Lineage: Eukaryota; Viridiplantae; Streptophyta; Magnoliopsida; Poales; Poaceae
Description: long non-coding RNA (TAES_LNC006437)
Source: RNAcentral
GAAGUGAUCGCUUCCAGCCGUCCUUGUUAGAAGGGAUGCAGACAGUUAAUAGCUUUGUAGAUGGUCCAACGGAUUAUGAAGUUUUUUCACAACCUGACCUGGAUUGGAAUCUGUAUCAAUCCUGAAGAAAACUCAAGGUCAAUACACACUUGUUUCAUUUCAAAGUCAUCUACUAUCACCAGAGCUUCACAUUGUACUUCUCUUGUUCUUUUGUAUAGUUGAUGUAGAUUAACUCCUUUUUUUUCUACUAGCUGGACCUGUUCGUUUUGGAAAUGACAAACACUUUUAGAUCAUGUAGGCAUGAGCUGUCUAUCUAAAUUCCAUGAAAAAAACACCAGGCAGUAUCAUACAUAAUCAGUUCAUCAUCUUGAGAUUCUUUUUCUUGUAAUUGCCUCCAUCUAACGCAAAAAAGCCCCACCCGCAGCAGAUAUAUCAGUGGAUGCCACAUUUAUUCUUUCCAUCUUUUCUGUGUUAGUGUUCCAACUGUAAGAGAAUUAUUGUUAUGUUUGGGAUUUAAGAGAUUUCUAACACUGGAAUCUACCUUAUGCACUGUGAAUUGUGACAGUCAAACUAUACUGUGAACUUCUGAAGUUUUGAUGUAGCUUCACAAACAUUAGUAGUUUGGUACCUGACGGGCAACAAGUGUACUGAUAUAUCAUCGUUUUUUUUAUAUCCCUGUUCCUCAUUCAUAUGUUAGGCCAUUAGUUUAAAUUGCGUGUUUGUAUCUUUAUUAACCAGUGUUCAUAUAUUUGUUAAUUUGCUGUGUUUGUAUCUUUAUUAACCAGUGUUCAUAUAUUUGUUAAUUUGCUGUGUUUGUAUCUUUAUUAACCAGUGUUCAUAUAUUUGUUAAUUUGCUUUGUUUGUAUCUGUAAUUCUGUAUUAACCAUUGUGUUUAUAUCGAUUGCUUCCAGCCAUCCUUGUUCAUAGAGACGCAGACAGUUAAAUAGCUUUGUAGACAGUCCAACAGAUUAUGGAGUUUUUUCACAACCUGACCUGGAUUGGAAUCUGUAUCAAUCCUGAAGGAAAAACUCAAGGUCAUUUUAAAGUCGCCUAGUAUCACUGGAGCUUCACAUUGUACAGCUCUCAUUCUUUUGUACUGUUAUGUAUUAACUCUUUUUUUUUCUAGCUGGAACUGUUUGUUUUGCAAAUGACAAACACUUCAUUUACAUCAUGUAGGC